Homo sapiens (human) is the source of this 314-nucleotide long non-coding RNA. Lineage: Eukaryota; Metazoa; Chordata; Mammalia; Primates; Hominidae. The record is from Ensembl.
CUACUAACAUGUGGAUGCCGCCACUCCACAACUUGCUUAAAAGCCACACUGUGUUUCCUGGACAAUGGCCGCAGGCCAAAACACACACAUUCCAGUUUUUACGACUAUAAGAUCUCCAGUUGCUCCUGGUAACAUCAAAUGAAGACAGAAAUUCUUGUAUUGCCCAUGCGAGAUUCCCCAAGUCCCUCAUCCUACAGACCCAAGAAGGAAGCAUGUGAAGAGAGCGAAGCUAAACGUUGAAGGUCCUGGUUGGAGUUGGUGGUCAACUCCACUGUUGCUUGGAUCACUAGGCAUUAAAGGGUUCUGAGGCUGCA